This is a long non-coding RNA of Pomacea canaliculata, 167 nucleotides long. RefSeq lists it as uncharacterized. NCBI's taxonomy places the organism in Eukaryota, Metazoa, Mollusca, Gastropoda, Architaenioglossa, Ampullariidae. The transcript has 3 exons. The record is from RefSeq and is a predicted model, not a curated record.
GGCGAGAAGACUGAUCAGUAUGUGUUCUACUGCAUGAAAUAUGUAGACUAUUUGCUACAAAACCAACUGAAGCCGAUUCUUGUCUUUGAUGGAUGUCACUUGCCUUCUAAGAAGGAUGUGGAAAGUUCUCGACGUCAGCGAAGAGAGAAGAAUCGAGCACAAGCAGC